This 66-nucleotide transfer RNA is filed under the name Rugopharynx australis. RNAcentral's name for it is "tRNA-Lys". It matches the Rfam family "tRNA". Rfam says of the family: Transfer RNA (tRNA) molecules are approximately 80 nucleotides in length. Their secondary structure includes four short double-helical elements and three loops (D, anti-codon, and T loops). Further hydrogen bonds mediate the characteristic L-shaped molecular structure. tRNAs have two regions of fundamental functional importance: the anti-codon, which is responsible for specific mRNA codon recognition, and the 3' end, to which the tRNAs corresponding amino acid is attached (by aminoacyl-tRNA synthetases). tRNAs cope with the degeneracy of the genetic code in two manners: having more than one tRNA (with a specific anti-codon) for a particular amino acid; and 'wobble' base-pairing, i.e. permitting non-standard base-pairing at the 3rd anti-codon position. Lineage: Eukaryota; Metazoa; Nematoda; Chromadorea; Rhabditida; Strongylidae. The record is from RNAcentral.
GAGAUGUUAACUUAAGUUUAAAGUGUCAAAUUUUUAAUUUGAAAAUGAAUAAUUCACAUCUUAUAA